This 433-nucleotide ribosomal RNA is filed under the name uncultured bacterium. RNAcentral describes it as "partial 16S ribosomal RNA". It matches the Rfam family "Bacterial small subunit ribosomal RNA", at positions 29 to 507 of the family's 1533-position model. The record is from RNAcentral.
AGCGAACGCUGGCGGCAGGCUUAACACAUGCAAGUCGAGCGGGCACUUCGGUGUCAGCGGCAGACGGGUGAGUAACACGUGGGAACGUACCCUUUGGUUCGGAAUAACGCUGGGAAACUAGCGCUAAUACCGGAUACGCCCUUUUGGGGAAAGGCUUGCUGCCGAAGGAUCGGCCCGCGUCUGAUUAGCUAGUUGGUGGGGUAAUGGCCUACCAAGGCGACGAUCAGUAGCUGGUCUGAGAGGAUGAUCAGCCACACUGGGACUGAGACACGGCCCAGACUCCUACGGGAGGCAGCAGUGGGGAAUAUUGGACAAGGGGCGCAAGCCUGAUCCAGCCAUGCCGCGUGAGUGAUGAAGGCCUUAGGGUUGUAAAGCUCUUUUGUCCGGGACGAUAAUGACGGUACCGGAAGAAUAAGCCCCGGCUAACUUCGUG